RNAcentral lists this ribosomal RNA (568 nucleotides) under Vorticella sp. 4 JG-2011. RNAcentral describes it as "SSU rRNA". It matches the Rfam family "Eukaryotic small subunit ribosomal RNA", at positions 1214 to 1828 of the family's 1831-position model. The record is from RNAcentral. Lineage: Eukaryota; Ciliophora; Oligohymenophorea; Sessilida; Vorticellidae.
CUCAUCAGGACAAGAAGAUUUUAGGAUUGACAGAUUGAGAGUUCUUUCUUGAUUGGUCUAGUGGUGGUGCAUGGCCGUUCUUAGUUGGUGGAGUGAUUUGUCUGGUUAAUUCCGUUAACGAACGAGACCUUAACCUGCUAACUAGUGUUCCGAUCUCAAAUCGGAAGCACUUCUUAGAGGGACUAUGUGAUGUAAUCACAUGGAAGUUUGAGGCAAUAACAGGUCUGUGAUGCCCUUAGAUGUCCUGAGCUGCACGCGUACUACAAUGGCACUUUCAACGAAUUUUUCCUGAUCCGAAAGGAUUUGGGUAAUCUUUUUAGUGAGUGCCGUGAUUGGGAUAGAUCUUUGUAAUUGUGGAUCUUGAACUAGGAAUUCCUAGUAAGCGCGAUUCAUCAAAUCGUGCUGAUUACGUCCCUGCAAAAUGUACACACCGCCCGUCGCUUUUACCGAUUGAGUGUUCAGGUGAGUCUUCUUGAUAGUUGCAAAAUUAGAAAUUAAACAAACCUUAGCACUUAGAGGAAAAAGAAGUCGUAACAAGGCUUCCGUAGGUGAACCUGCGGAAGGAUCA